UACGUAGGUGGCAAGCGUUGUUCGGAUUUACUGGGCGUAAAGAGCGCGCAGGCGGCUGGGCAAGUCCGAUGUGAAAGCUGCCGGCUUAACUGGAAAAUUGCAUCGGAAACUGCUCGGCUUGAAGGUGGGAGAGGGUAGCGGAAUUCCCGGUGUAGUGGUGAAAUGCGUAGAUAUCGGGAGGAACACCAGUGGCGAAGGCGGCUACCUGGCCCGCUCUUGACGCUGAGGCGCGAAAGCUAGGGGAGCAAACGGG
Molecule: ribosomal RNA, 253 nt
Filed under: uncultured bacterium
Lineage: Bacteria
Description: partial 16S ribosomal RNA
Rfam family: Bacterial small subunit ribosomal RNA
Source: RNAcentral